This 466-nucleotide ribosomal RNA is filed under the name uncultured bacterium. Its description in RNAcentral is "partial 16S ribosomal RNA". It matches the Rfam family "Bacterial small subunit ribosomal RNA", at positions 28 to 507 of the family's 1533-position model. The record is from RNAcentral.
GACGAACGCUGGCGGCGCGCCUAACACAUGCCAGUCGAACGAUCGAGCGAGAGCUUGCUUUCUCGAGCGAGUGGCGAACGGGUGAGUAACGCGUGAGGGACCUGCCUCAAAUAGGGGGAGAACAGUUGGAAACGACUGCUAAUACCGCAUAAACCCACGACCCACCAUCGGGUAGAGGUAAAAGGAGCCAUCCGCUUUGAGAUGGACUCGCGUCCGAUUAUCUGAGUGGUGAGGUGACGGACCACCAAGGCGACGAGCCGUAGCCGGACUGAGAGGUUGACCGGGAACACUGGGACUGAGACACGGCCCAGACUCCUACGGGAGGCAGCAGUGGGGAAUAUUGCACAAUGCGGGAAAGAAUGAUGCAGCGACGUCGCGUGGAGGAAGAAGGUCUUAGGAUUGUAAAUUACUGUUGUUGAGGCAGAUAAUGACGGUACUCUACCAGGAAGUGACGGCUAACUACGUG